GCGGAGGAAAAGAAACCAACAGGGAUUGCCCUAGUAACGGCGAGUGAAGCGGCAACAGCUCAAAUUUGAAAUCUGGCGUCUUCGGCGUCCGAGUUGUAAUUUGCAGAGGGCGCUUUGGCAUUGGCAGCGGUCCAAGUUCCUUGGAACAGGACGUCACAGAGGGUGAGAAUCCCGUACGUGGUCGCUAGCCUUUACCGUGUAAAGCCCCUUCGACGAGUCGAGUUGUUUGGGAAUGCAGCUCUAAAUGGGAGGUAAAUUUCUUCUAAAGCUAAAUACUGGCCAGAGACCGAUAGCGCACAAGUAGAGUGAUCGAAAGAUGAAAAGCACUUUGGAAAGAGAGUUAAAAAGCACGUGAAAUUGUUGAAAGGGAAGCGCUUGCAGCCAGACUUGCCUGUAGUUGCUCAUCCGGGUUUCUACCCGGUGCACUCUUCUAUAGGCAGGCCAGCAUCAGUUUGGGCGGUUGGAUAAAGGUCUCUGUCAUGUACCUCUCUUCGGGGAGAACUUAUAGGGGAGACGACAUGCAACCAGCCUGGACUGAGGUCCGCGCAUCUGCUAGGAUGCUGGCGUAAUGGCUGUAAGCGGCCCGUCUUGAAACACGGACCAAGGAGUCUAACAUCUAUGCGAGUGUUUGGGUGUCAAGCCCGAGCGCGUAAUGAAAGUGAACGGAGGUGGGAACCUUUCGGGGUGCACCAUCGACCGAUCCUGAUGUCUUCGGAUGGAUUUGAGUAAGAGCAUAGCUGUUGGGACCCGAAAGAUGGUGAACUAUGCUUGAAUAGGGUGAAGCCAGAGGAAACUCUGGUGGAGGCUCGCAGCGGUUCUGACGUGCAAAUCGAUCGUCAAAUUUGGGCAUAGGGGCGAAAGACUAAUCGAACUAUCUAGUAGCUGGUUCCUG
This 892-nucleotide small RNA is filed under the name Didymella sp. 1 NV-2015. Its description in RNAcentral is "eukaryotic LSU rRNA". It matches the Rfam family "Eukaryotic large subunit ribosomal RNA", at positions 50 to 960 of the family's 3401-position model. Lineage: Eukaryota; Fungi; Ascomycota; Dothideomycetes; Pleosporales; Didymellaceae. The record is from RNAcentral.